GACGAACGCUGGCGGCGUGCUUAACACAUGCAAGUCGAACGGAAAGGCCCUGCUUGCCGGGUACUCGAGUGGCGAACGGGUGAGUAACACGUGGGUGAUCUGCCCUGCACUUCGGGAUAAGCCUGGGAAACUGGGUCUAAUACCGGAUAGGAGCCAUUUUUAGUGUGAUGGUUGGAAAGUUUUUUCGGUGUAGGAUGAGCUCGCGGCCUAUCAGCUUGUUGGUGGGGUAAUGGCCUACCAAGGCGGCGACGGGUAGCCGGCCUGAGAGGGUGGACGGCCACAUUGGGACUGAGAUACGGCCCAGACUCCUACGGGAGGCAGCAGUGGGGAAUAUUGCACAAGGGGCGCAAGCCGGAUGCAGCGACGCCGCGGGGGGGAUGACGGCCUUCGGGUUGUAAACGCCUUUCGCUAGGGACGAAGCUUUUUGUGACGGUACCUAGAUAAGAAGCACCGGCUAACUACGUG
This 465-nucleotide ribosomal RNA is filed under the name uncultured bacterium. RNAcentral's name for it is "partial 16S ribosomal RNA". It matches the Rfam family "Bacterial small subunit ribosomal RNA", at positions 28 to 507 of the family's 1533-position model. The record is from RNAcentral.